AAGACCUUGCGCUUUUGGAGCGGCCGAUGCCUGAUUAGCUUGUUGGUAAGGUAAAAGCUUACCAAGGCUUCGAUCAGUAGCUGGUCUGAGAGGACGACCAGCCACACUGGGACUGAGACACGGCCCAGACUCCUACGGGGGGCAGCAGUGGGGAAUUUUGGACAAUGGGGGCAACCCUGAUCCAGCCAUGCCGCGUGAGUGAAGAAGGCCUUCGGGUUGUAAAGCUCUUUCAGCCGGAACGAAACGGUUACGGAUAACACCCGUGACUACUGACGGUACCGGAAGAAGAAGCACCGGCUAACUACGUGCCAGCAGCCGCGGUAAUACGUAGGGUGCGAGCGUUAAUCGGAAUUACUGGGCGUAAAGCGUGCGCAGGUGGUUUUGUAAGUCAGAUGUGAAAGCCCCGGGCUCAACCUGGGAACU
Molecule: ribosomal RNA, 423 nt
Filed under: uncultured bacterium
Lineage: Bacteria
Description: bacterial SSU rRNA
Rfam family: Bacterial small subunit ribosomal RNA
Source: RNAcentral